UAUAAAUUUGUUUCCACAUGUAUGAUUUUAUCAUUAUAUUAUAAUUAUUUUUAACAGAUUCCUGAAUUUCAUAUCAGCUGACAAUAAGGGAAGAGGUGUUCUAGUCAAGACCAGGGAAAAUUUAUUUCCACACAAUUUUGUGUGAUGGUGCUGUUGAUGCAGGUGUGACUGAACAAUAGAUGGUGUUUUGUAGAGUCUUGGAUAUUAUUUACCCUAGAAACCUUUCUCAUAGCAGACAAGUUCUGGAACAUUAUUUUCUUCCAGUACAGUAUUAAACAGGAUGGGCUUUGACCCAAAAGACUUCCAUUGAGAGUGGCCUGCCUUUAAAGAGUACAUUGUACAUAGGUGGCAGGUUUAUAGUGAAUUAAAAAAAAAAAAGACGUGUACCGAUUUGUUUCAAAGCUAGGAGACCAGACAAAGAUUAGAAUACAUACAAUAAUGCUAACUGAAAUUGCCUUGUUCAGCCUGUCUACUUCUCAGGUGGAGGGAGGAUACAGUGCUCUCAAAAGAAUCAAAUCUGACUGGAGGUCAAGUUUGGGGAAUAUUAUGCUUAAGUUAACAAAUUUUUGACGGCAGUUUUAAGGGGCCAAGUUUUGAUGAUCAUUUAGUCAAGGAAUCUAUCAACCCCUGGGUGGCAGGGAAAACAGCACAAUUUUGAACUUGGAAAUUGAUUUAGUUUUCUGAUUGUCAUAUCCAGGUAAAUGACCUGACCAUUGAAGAUUCUAGGGAAAUAAAAAAUUGAAACAUACUUGUAUACUAUACUGAAGUUUUUUUUUUCAUUUUUAAUGCAUUUUACUUUGAUAUGUAUUUAAUUACAAAUUAUAUUCAAGAAUUUUCAGCUGGGGAAGAUCUUAUUUGUAUGUCAGUUUUGGCUAAAGUAAUAUUCAUAACUUGAUGGGGCAGGUGCUUCUCCUGCCCCCAGAAUAGACGGAUCAAGUUGGCCAAAGAGUUUAUUGCAGCCUUGUUAACUGCUUUGAUUUAAAAGGCAAACUUUGAAAAAGUUCAGUGCAUAUUCAUGAGGCUGAAUGAACAUUUCCCAGGAACAGUGUUUUAAGGACACCAGUUUACUUAGUUUUGUUUAUUACACAGAUUUUAAUAUUUUGCAUGUAAAUUUAAAUAGAUUAGGGAUUUUUCAAAUUAUAAUUGGAAGGGUCUCAUUUUAAAUAGUUUAAUAUGUAAGAGACAAAAAUAGUACUAGUACAUAGAAAUAAAUCUUGAGCAGUAAAAUAAGAGAACAAGGCAUAAGUGCAGAUCUUAUGAAUAAACUGGUGUUGAAUGAUUUUUUUUUUUAAUUAUCAAAACCCUUUCAGGCUUUAAAAAGUACAACCUGGCCAUAGGCCAGUACUUCAUUGUACAGUAAAUAUAUAUCCAAAUAAAAAAAUUGUGUUUUAUUUAUAACUAGAUCUAGCAAUAUCUUCCUAUAUUAGUCAAAAUUCACACUGGAUUUCUUGUGGCGUGGAUCAUAACUAUACCAUUUUUGAUGUUUUCAGAAUGAAGCAUAUAACUCUUGGAAUAAAUCUGAUGUUUGAUGUACA
Molecule: long non-coding RNA, 1535 nt
Organism: Lingula anatina
Lineage: Eukaryota; Metazoa; Brachiopoda; Lingulata; Lingulida; Lingulidae
Source: RefSeq, a predicted model, not a curated record